Molecule: ribosomal RNA, 497 nt
Filed under: uncultured bacterium
Lineage: Bacteria
Description: partial 16S ribosomal RNA
Rfam family: Bacterial small subunit ribosomal RNA
Source: RNAcentral
GAUGAACGCUGGCGGUGUGCCUAAUACAUGCAAGUCGAGCGAACAGACGAGGAGCUUACUCCUCUGACGUUAGCGGCGGACGGGUGAGUAACACGUGGAUAACCUCCUUAUAAGACUGGGAUAACUUCGGGAAACCGGAGCUAAUACCGGAUAACAUGUUGAACCGCAUGGUUCAACAGUGAAAGACGGUCUUGCUGUCACUUAUAGAUGGAUCCGCGUCGCAUUAGCUAGUUGGUAAGGUAACGGCUUACCAAGGCAACGAUGCGUAGCCGACCUGAGAGGGUGAUCGGCCACACUGGAACUGAGACACGGUCCAGACUCCUACGGGAGGCAGCAGUAGGGAAUCUUCCGCAAUGGGCGAAAGCCUGACGGAGCAACGCCGCGUGAGUGAAGAAGGUCUUCGGAUCGUAAAACUCUGUUAUUAGGGAAGAACAAAUGUGUAAGUAACUAUGCACGUCUUGACGGUACCUAAUCAGAAAGCCACGGCUAACUACGUG